Molecule: unclassified non-coding RNA, 456 nt
Filed under: Lactarius sp. 1 CG-2012
Lineage: Eukaryota; Fungi; Basidiomycota; Agaricomycetes; Russulales; Russulaceae
Description: sequence contains ITS1, 5.8S rRNA gene, ITS2
Rfam family: 5.8S ribosomal RNA (bases 206-360)
Source: RNAcentral
CUGGCUCUCUACAUGUGUGCAUGUGCACGUCCUUGCUAUCUCUGUCGACCUUUCAACAUACACACACCUGUGCACCUAUUGUAGGUCCUUGAAAGAGGAUCUAUGUAUUUUCACUUCACAACCCUAUCGUAUGUCCAUAUAAUGUUAUCUCAAAGACCUUCCGAGCUUGAUUGAUCGGUCGGUCAAUGAAAUAAAAAUCAUAUACAACUUUCAUCAACGGAUCUCUUGGCUCUCGCAUCGAUGAACAACGCACCGAAUUGCGAUAAAUAAUGUGAAUUGCAGAUUUCCAGUGAAUCAUCGAAUCUUUGAACGCACCUUGCGCUCCUUGAUAUUCCGAGGAGCAUGCCUGUUUGAGUGUCAUUUAAUUCUCAACCAUGUCUUCAUUGACUUGGCUUGGAGUUGGGGGUUUGCUGGCGGUGUUCUCUAUCAUCAGCUCUCCUGAAAUGCAUUCGUGAU